This 478-nucleotide ribosomal RNA is filed under the name uncultured bacterium. Its description in RNAcentral is "bacterial SSU rRNA". It matches the Rfam family "Bacterial small subunit ribosomal RNA", at positions 28 to 492 of the family's 1533-position model. The record is from RNAcentral.
GAUGAACGCUAGCUACAGGCUUAACACAUGCAAGUCGAGGGGCAGCAUGACGAUAGCUUGCUAUUGUCGAUGGCGACCGGCGCACGGGUGAGUAACGCGUAUCCAACCUUCCCGUUGCUAGGGGAUAACCUUGCGAAAGUAAGACUAAUACCCUAUGAAGUUCUUCGCAGGCAUCUAAAGAGAACGAAAGAUUUAUCGGCAACGGAUGGGGAUGCGUCUGAUUAGGUUGUUGGCGGGGUAACGGCCCACCAAGCCCACGAUCAGUAGGGGUUCUGAGAGGAAGGUCCCCCACAUUGGAACUGAGACACGGUCCAAACUCCUACGGGAGGCAGCAGUGAGGAAUAUUGGUCAAUGGACGGAAGUCUGAACCAGCCAAGUAGCGUGCAGGAUGACGGCCCUAUGGGGUUGUAAACGUGCUUUUAUGUGGGAGCAAAGGCAGUCACGGGUGACUGAAAGGAGAGUACCUGAAGAAAAAGCA